RNAcentral lists this non-coding RNA (323 nucleotides) under Pan troglodytes (chimpanzee). Lineage: Eukaryota; Metazoa; Chordata; Mammalia; Primates; Hominidae. The record is from RNAcentral.
CACCCGGGACCCACUUCGGAGUUCGCCCCCUUUGGGACUCGCCUCCGGGAGACCCCCGAGGGGGCCGACAGCCUGGAUUGCUGACAGGCCGCGAGCGUGGCCUUGGGCCCAGGGUGUCCCGGACUCAGCACUGACGUUCCCGGAAAGAGCCCACGUUGAGUAGGAGCUGAGACCUGCAGGACACAGGAACUCCUCCCAGGGUCCUGGAUCCAGCUGCUGCUCACGGCAGGAGGCCCGAAACCAGAAGGCCUGAGCACUUGCCCCAUCCCCAAGAGAUGCACGGAGGCUGGAAGGGGCAGUGCAGGGGCUGACCAACCUGCUCA